GGCGGACGGGUGAGUAAUGCUUGGGAACAUGCCUUGAGGUGGGGGACAACAGUUGGAAACGACUGCUAAUACCGCAUAAUGUCUACGGACCAAAGGGGGCUUCGGCUCUCGCCUUUAGAUUGGCCCAAGUGGGAUUAGCUAGUUGGUGAGGUAAUGGCUCACCAAGGCGACGAUCCCUAGCUGGUUUGAGAGGAUGAUCAGCCACACUGGAACUGAGACACGGUCCAGACUCCUACGGGAGGCAGCAGUGGGGAAUAUUGCACAAUGGGCGAAAGCCUGAUGCAGCCAUGCCGCGUGUGUGAAGAAGGCCUUCGGGUUGUAAAGCACUUUCAGUCAGGAGGAAAGGGUGUGAGUUAAUACCUCACAUCUGUGACGUUACUGACAGAAGAAGCACCGGCUAACUCCGUGCCAGCAGCCGCGGUAAUACGGAGGGUGCGAGCGUUAAUCGGAAUUACUGGGCGUAAAGCGUAC
This 471-nucleotide ribosomal RNA is filed under the name uncultured Pseudoalteromonas sp. RNAcentral describes it as "bacterial SSU rRNA". It matches the Rfam family "Bacterial small subunit ribosomal RNA", at positions 97 to 570 of the family's 1533-position model. The record is from RNAcentral. Lineage: Bacteria; Pseudomonadati; Pseudomonadota; Gammaproteobacteria; Alteromonadales; Pseudoalteromonadaceae.